Molecule: ribosomal RNA, 253 nt
Filed under: uncultured bacterium
Lineage: Bacteria
Description: partial 16S ribosomal RNA
Rfam family: Bacterial small subunit ribosomal RNA
Source: RNAcentral
UACGUAGGGUGCAAGCGUUGUCCGGAAUUAUUGGGCGUAAAGAGCUCGUAGGCGGUCUGUCGCGUCGGAUGUGAAAAUCCAGGGCUCAACCCUGGACCUGCAUUCGAUACGGGCAGACUAGAGUUCGGCAGGGGAGACUGGAAUACUUGGUGUAGCAGUGAAAUGCGUAGAUAUCAAGUGGAACACCAGUGGCGAAGGCGAGUCCCUGGACAACUCCUGACACUGAGGCACGAAAGCUAGGGGAGCAAACAGG